UAGGGAAUAUUGCAAAAUGGGCGAAAGCCCGAUGCAGCAACGCCGCGUGGGCGAUGAAGGCCUUCGGGUCGUAAAGCCCUUUUUGAGGGGAUGAGGAAGGACAGUACCCUCAGAAUAAGCCUCGGCUAACUACGUGCCAGCAGCCGCGGUAAAACGUAGGAGGCGAGCGUUAUCCGGAUUUACUGGGCGUAAAGCGCGUGCAGGCGGAUUGGAGAGUUGGAUGUGAAAGCUCCCGGCUUAACUGGGAGAGGUCGUUCAAUACUUCCAGUCUUGAGUGCAGUAGAGGGAAGUGGAAUUCCGGGUGUAGUGGUGAAAUGCGUAGAUAUCCGGAGGAACACCAGUGGCGAAAGCGGCUUCCUGGACUGUAACUGACGCUCAGACGCGAAAGCUAGGGUA
Molecule: ribosomal RNA, 396 nt
Filed under: uncultured bacterium
Lineage: Bacteria
Description: bacterial SSU rRNA
Rfam family: Bacterial small subunit ribosomal RNA
Source: RNAcentral